CCCUACGGGGGGCAGCAGUGGAGAAUAUUGGGCAAUGGGCGCAAGCCUGACCCAGCAACGCCGCGUGAAGGAAGAAGGCUUUCGGGUUGUAAACUUCGUUUGUCAGGGACGAAGAAAGUGACGGUACCUGAGGAAUAAGCCACGGCUAACUACGUGCCAGCAGCCGCGGUAAUACGUAGGUGGCAAGCGUUAUCCGGAUUUACUGUGUGUAAAGGGCGUGUAGGCGGGAAAGCAAGUCAGAUGUGAAAACCACGGGCUCAACCUGUGGCCUGCAUUUGAAACUGUUUCUCUUGAGUACUGGAGAG
Molecule: ribosomal RNA, 305 nt
Filed under: uncultured bacterium
Lineage: Bacteria
Description: bacterial SSU rRNA
Rfam family: Bacterial small subunit ribosomal RNA
Source: RNAcentral